AGAUAGGGAGAGAGGGAGGGAGAGAGAGAGAGACAGAGACAGAGAGAGACGGAGAGAGAUGCCAUCCAAAUUGCCUACAGAAACAGCAGAGAGAGCUUCUCUUCUGAGCUACUGAGACACAGAAGAUCUUACUUUGCUGCUAUAGCAUUCCUUCAUUCUUCCAAGACAUAAAUGUGCAGCAACAGCAGUAAUUUUCUCAGUCAGUGACAGAUGGAUCCAGCGUGACGUGCCACAGAAGGCCUGACCCUGGUAAACAGGGAGCACAGCCUUGGAGCCCUGCAGGGUGUAAGAGGGAGAUGGAAAACUUCUUGGAGAUUUUCAGGGUUCAGUGUGCUCCCUGCCACCUUGCUGCCUGCCAGAAAGCCUUCCAGGUUAUCACUGAACUGCUUCUUACAUUGUGGUUGCCAUAAUAAGAGAUAUGGAGAACUAUGGACCCAGGUGAUCUGGGCUCUGACUUUUGCAAAGACGUCAGGUAGGCAGGCAGUUAUAAGUACCUACAGAGUGCACCACAGGUUCCUUCAGACACUGGGCAGCUGAUGUCUCACUGCUCUUCUGCAUCUCUGUCCCCUUAUCUGUGAUAAGACAGUGAUAAUACAUUAUUUACCUCUGGGCAGGACUGGAGAAUGGACG
Molecule: long non-coding RNA, 630 nt
Filed under: Dromaius novaehollandiae (emu)
Lineage: Eukaryota; Metazoa; Chordata; Aves; Casuariiformes; Dromaiidae
Description: lncRNA (ENSDNVG00000010866.1)
Source: RNAcentral